UGCUUUUUAUAAUGGUGGUGCAUGUGCUGUGCAUGUGCUGUGCUCUGAGUGAACCUACUCUGAGUUAAUUGAACCAACUCGAAUCAGCUGUUCUGGAACCGAAAACUCUGAAUUUCCCAUCUCAGGGUAAAUCAACUCAGAGUUCAGGGUUAGAUUCAGAGUUUGUUUAACCACCUUCCUGAAACGGGCCCCUGGCUCUGUAAAUGGAAAAUAAACAGAAAGGAGUGCAUGAGCCACAAAACAAGUCAUCUAAGUCAAGUCAUCUGUAGUCAUCUAACUGUGAUUCUGAAGCGAGCAUAUAAAGGGUUUGAGCGGGCUUCAGUUCACCAGUCAUGGACAGAAGUGUGCUGCUGGUCCUGUGGUGUCUGCAGGCUUUCCUGCUCAUCGCAUCGUUCACUUCUACUGAUGCAGCCGCUCUUGUGAGAGAUGAUCAUCAACAACAGUCUAUUGAUUUGGUGGCAAGAGAGGAAAAAAAACCAGGAUCAAAGAAGCGGAAAAAGCAAUGUGGCUGGUACCAUGGAGGAUGUGGCUUCCCGGUCCAGUAGUGUUUUGGUGGUAUACUGGUACAAUAUGCUGGCGCCAUGUUUCCACUUGAAUACAAACUGGGAGACCUGAGCGUUCCACUCCAAUCAACCCAACUCCAGAUAUCAUCUGCACAAAUGAUGUCACCUAUUUUCAAUGUAAUUUUCGAAGACAAAAAGUGGUUACGGGAGAAAUAAAUUUGUAUUGUAGUGCUUGUGAA
Perca fluviatilis (European perch) is the source of this 742-nucleotide long non-coding RNA. RefSeq lists it as uncharacterized. The transcript is spliced from 4 exons. The record is from RefSeq and is a predicted model, not a curated record. Lineage: Eukaryota; Metazoa; Chordata; Actinopteri; Perciformes; Percidae.